This 245-nucleotide ribosomal RNA is filed under the name uncultured bacterium. RNAcentral's name for it is "partial 16S ribosomal RNA". It matches the Rfam family "Bacterial small subunit ribosomal RNA", at positions 524 to 768 of the family's 1533-position model. The record is from RNAcentral.
GACGAAGGUUCCAAGCGUUGUUCGGAAUCAUUGGGCGUAAAGAGUUUGUAGGUGGCUAUAUAAGUCCGAUGUGAAAGCCCGGAGCUUAACUCCGGAAAUGCAUUUGAUACUGUAUAGCUUGAGUACGGAAGAGGGUCGUGGAAUUCCUGGUGUAGUGGUGAAAUACGUAGAUAUCAGGAGGAACAUCGGCGGCGAAGGCGGCGACCUGGUCCGAUACUGACACUGAGAAACGAAAGUGUGGGGAU